AACGAACGCUGGCGGCAUGCCUAACACAUGCAAGUCGAACGAGACCUUCGGGUCUAGUGGCGCACGGGUGCGUAACGCGUGGGAACCUGCCCUUAGGUUCGGAAUAACUCCCCGAAAGGGGUGCUAAUACCGGAUAAUGUCUUCGGACCAAAGAUUUAUCGCCUUUGGAUGGGCCCGCGUUGGAUUAGUUAGUUGGUAGGGUCAAAGCCUACCAAGGCGACGAUGCAUAGCUGGUCUGAGAGGCUGAUCAGCCACACUGGGACUGAGACACGGCCCAGACUCCUACGGUAGGUAGCAGUAGGGAAUCUUCCGCGAUGGGCGAAAGCCUGACGGAGCAACGCGGCGUGAGUCAUGAAGGUGUUCGGAUCGGAAAACUCUGUUAUUCGGGAAGAACAAAUGUUUAAGUACCCAUGCUCGUCUUGACGGUACCGAAUCAGAAAGCCACGGCUAACUACGUG
Molecule: ribosomal RNA, 458 nt
Filed under: uncultured bacterium
Lineage: Bacteria
Description: partial 16S ribosomal RNA
Rfam family: Bacterial small subunit ribosomal RNA
Source: RNAcentral